This 513-nucleotide ribosomal RNA is filed under the name uncultured bacterium. RNAcentral's name for it is "partial 16S ribosomal RNA". It matches the Rfam family "Bacterial small subunit ribosomal RNA", at positions 28 to 523 of the family's 1533-position model. The record is from RNAcentral.
GAUGAACGCUGGCGGCGUGCCUAAUACAUGUAAGUCGAACGCGCAGCGAAAGGUGCUUGCACCUUUCAAGCGAGUGGCGAACGGGUGAGUAACACGUGGAUAACCUGCCCCAAGGCUGGGGAUAACAUUGGGAAACAGAUGCUAAUACCGAAUAAAAAUUAUCAUCGCAUGAUACAAAGUUAAAAGGCGUUACGACGUCACCCCGAGCUGGAUCAGCGGUGCAUUAGUUAGUUGGUGGGGUAAAGGCUUACCAAGACGAUGCUGCAUAGCCGGGAUGAGAGACUGAUCGGCCACAUUGGGAAUGAGACACGGCCCAAACUCCCACGGGAGGCUGCAGUAGGGAAUCUUCCACAAUGGGCGCAAGCCUGAUGGAGCAACGCCGCGUGUGUGAUGAAGGCUUUCGGGUCGUAAAGCACUGUUGUAUGGGAAGAAAUGCUAAAAUAGGGAAUGAUUUUAGCUUGACGGUACCAUACCAGAAAGGGACGGCUAAAUACGUGCCAGCCGCCGCCGUAA